AUUAUAAUGAUGAAAAUAUUCAGGAAGUGCCGUCUGAGUUUACAUGUUGACGAUAAUGAAAUAAUCUGAACAUAAUUG
This 78-nucleotide small nucleolar RNA is filed under the name Plasmodium ovale (malaria parasite P. ovale). RNAcentral's name for it is "small nucleolar RNA snoR28". It matches the Rfam family "small nucleolar RNA snoR28". RNAcentral also lists the same sequence under 1 other name. Lineage: Eukaryota; Apicomplexa; Aconoidasida; Haemosporida; Plasmodiidae. The record is from Rfam by way of RNAcentral.